Molecule: long non-coding RNA, 1244 nt
Organism: Exaiptasia diaphana
Lineage: Eukaryota; Metazoa; Cnidaria; Anthozoa; Actiniaria; Aiptasiidae
Exons: 2
Source: RefSeq, a predicted model, not a curated record
GCGGGCUUUUUAGUCAAAYCACCGUGUUUUCCAUCUUCCAUUAUAGUAAAUAAUUCUUUGAUUUCUAUACCACAAAGGAUUAUUGAGCUAACUCGAAUUACAUAAUAAUAUAAUACAAUAUAAGGAUUUUUAAACAAUACAUUGAAUCCGUGGGGUGCAAUAAGGUGUCGAAAACAACGCCACUACAGCUUUAUGUUAAUGAAAACAUCCAAAAUCGACCAACAUGGCUAACGAUCACACAGCAGCUAUUACAAUCUCAUCGAUUCUUUUCGCCGGCUUUGUGGUAGCGUGGAUUUUAUUGRUGUACUUUUGCAAGUGUCGACAGUCGAAUGACGAGUUGGAUGCAGACGAAUUGGCGUCGUCUCGAAAGGAAUACAGUCCCGAGCCCGACGAGCGAGAUGCGAUGGUKAGACGAUCAUUGAGGGAAAAGAAAAAGAAAGAGAAUCAAAGUGCAGUGUAAACUUCAAAAGUUAAUAAAUAGUUUGACCGAUUUGCACAAAAGACAAAAUUUAACAAGAUGGGAUGGAUAUAAAGUAUUGGUUGAAAAAUUUUAUAAAAUCACAAGACUGGAAUUUUCUACAUCUAAUAAAAACUCUGGCUUAUGUACAUAUGGGAUGGAGCUAAACACUGUUCUGAUACGUACUACGUUAAAUCUAAAGCGACUGCAUCUCGGCAGAUUCAAUACGGUCAAGAUAAGUAAACAAAAAGAAAAAGAUAUGAAGGGAAAGUACUGUUUCUAGGGAGCACAAAUGAAGUAAAAAAUAUCACAUGCCAAAAGCUGAUGUCCGUUUCCUCGCGAGUCGAAAGUUUCCAACACCCUUUCAUUUUCCCUGGUAAUGUCUGUACCUUUGYCUUCUUCUCCMAUUGAAAUUUACUCAAAUGUCUGGCUAAAAACUAGACUGCGAUGCUUAGAUAGGAAUCCCCAAGAUAGCUUAAUCUGGUGCAAUAAGGUGUCUUUAGAGAGACUUUUCUGUGCGAGCUGUCUCUCUAUACCUCCUUGUUCAUCAAAAGAGGAAGAAUUGAAGAGAGACACUGCUUGUGAGAUGUAGUCGAGAGUAACUAUAAGAAUAUGGAUUAUAUUUGUAUAUUUAGCAAUAGCCACUUCGAGCUAAACUUCCACCAUAUUUAUGACGACCAGUUCACCAUGUACAAUAAUUGAUUCAUAUACAUAUACACAUUUUUUUAUCAGUUUUUGUAAAGUUGGAUUAGUGUUAUAUAUUARUAAAUAUCAGUCUACUAWACAA